GGUUCAGAACGAACGCUGGUGGCGUGUCUAUACAUGCAAGUCGAGCGGUCCGCAAGGAUAGCGGCGAACGGGUGAGUAACGCGUAAGCAAUCUGCCCCGCAUAUUGGGAUAGCCGUGCCAACGCGCGGAUAAUACCGAAUAACGUGGCCCCGGACAUCCGGGGUUGACGAAAGAUUCAUCGAUGCGGGAUGAGCUUGCGUCCGAUUAGCUAGUGGCGGGGCAACGGCCCACCAAGGCGACGAUCGGUAGCCGGCCUGAGAGGGUGAUCGGCCACAUUGGGACUGAGAUACGGCCCAGACUCCUACGGGAGGCAGCAGUAGGGAAUAUUGCACAAUGGGGGAAACCCUGAUGCAGCAACGCCACGUUGUGGGAAGAAGCAUUUCGGUGUGUAAACCACUGUCGUGAGGGAAUAAUAUGCGUCUUCGGGCGCGGGGGAAUGUACCUCGAGAGGAAGCACCGGCAAACUUCGUGCCAGCCGCCGC
This 482-nucleotide ribosomal RNA is filed under the name uncultured bacterium. RNAcentral's name for it is "bacterial SSU rRNA". It matches the Rfam family "Bacterial small subunit ribosomal RNA", at positions 21 to 518 of the family's 1533-position model. The record is from RNAcentral.